UACGUAGGGUGCAAGCGUUAAUCGGAAUUACUGGGCGUAAAGCGUGCGCAGGCGGCUUUGCAAGACAGAUGUGAAAUCCCCGGGCUUAACCUGGGAACUGCAUUUGUGACUGCAUGGCUGGAGUGCGGCAGAGGGGGAUGGAAUUCCGCGUGUAGCAGUGAAAUGCGUAGAUAUGCGGAGGAACACCGAUGGCGAAGGCAAUCCCCUGGGCCUGCACUGACGCUCAUGCACGAAGCGUGGGAGCAACAGGAUUAGAACCC
This 260-nucleotide ribosomal RNA is filed under the name uncultured bacterium. Its description in RNAcentral is "partial 16S ribosomal RNA". It matches the Rfam family "Bacterial small subunit ribosomal RNA", at positions 524 to 786 of the family's 1533-position model. The record is from RNAcentral.